CCUACGGGGGGCAGCAGUAGGGAAUCUUCCACAAUGGGCGAAAGCCUGAUGGAGCAACGCCGCGUGGGUGAAGAAGGUCUUCGGAUCGUAAAACCCUGUUGUUAGAGAAGAAAGUGCGUGAGAGUAACUGUUCACGUUUCGACGGUAUCUAACCAGAAAGCCACGGCUAACUACGUGCCAGCAGCCGCGGUAAUACGUAGGUGGCAAGCGUUAUCCGGAUUUAUUGGGCGUAAAGGGAACGCAGGCGGUCUUUUAAGUCUGAUGUGAAAGCCUUCGGCUUAACCGGAGUAGUGCAUUGGAAACUGGGAGACUUGAGUGCAGAAGAGGAGAGUGGAACUCCAUGUGUAGCGGUGAAAUGCGUAGAUAUAUGGAAGAACACCAGUGGCGAAAGCGGCUCUCUGGUCUGUAACUGACGCUGAGGUUCGAAAGCGUGGGUAGC
Molecule: ribosomal RNA, 439 nt
Filed under: uncultured bacterium
Lineage: Bacteria
Description: bacterial SSU rRNA
Rfam family: Bacterial small subunit ribosomal RNA
Source: RNAcentral